Mercenaria mercenaria is the source of this 2250-nucleotide long non-coding RNA. RefSeq lists it as uncharacterized. NCBI's taxonomy places the organism in Eukaryota, Metazoa, Mollusca, Bivalvia, Venerida, Veneridae. The record is from RefSeq and is a predicted model, not a curated record. The transcript is spliced from 3 exons.
AAAAGGCACAGCUGUAAAAUUUGAUUUCAUAUGCAGUUCAUGUUAAAAUUACAAAAAAAACUUAUGUUAGGUUUAUUUCUCAUCAGGUUAGUUGAUAGAUACAUCCAACCUUCUGCAAAAUCGCUAGGUUCAACAUUGAAACGUAGGAUUUUGUCGAUACAUGAACUGAAUAUAAAAAAUAAUCGACGGCGUUUUAUUUCUGCGGGAAAAUGACACAUGUAUGCGUUUUAUAUCAUUCCGUAGGCCUACGUAUAUAUACAAACAAAUGAUCACAUUAUUUAGCUACAAACACACAUUUUAAAAAAAUACAACACACAUAAAGAAAAAAGAUUUUUAAAAUGUCUAGCCUACAUGGCAACGUAAUUUAAAUUAUUCUGAAUAUGUAAUUGUGACCGUCACGCGUGACGCGUGAUAAUUUAAUUUUUUAAAGAAAUAAUUGUGGCAAAAUGAGUAGUAUGUUGAUAUCUUUGCUGAAAAUAUUUUCUGAUGAUUGUUGACAAAACGAGUUUUGAAAUGCACUUAAGCUAUAUGUAUACUGUCAGAUACUCCACUCUCGGAAACUCCUAGCUUUUACCCAAACUCCUCAUCCCUGGGUCCAGUAAUUAUAUUUUAUCAAGCAAUGGACAAUGAUUGCAGUUCGCCUAAAGAAUUACUAUCGCAGUUACGAAUUUUGUAGUGUUGAUAGACUUUAUCACUUCUUUUUUGUUUCAAGCCUGAUUGUUAUUGAACAUUGAACAUUAACAUUGAGUUUACACUACUGUAGGCUAUAAACAGAAAUUUAUCUGGGCUAUGUGCAGGGAAUACGAAAAAUAACAUAAAAUGAACUCCGCUGUUGUGAUUUUUUAUAAAUAUUUAAAUGUGUCGAAAUUCAAGCAAAAUAUAGUUGCAAUUUUUUAGAUCGAAUCCAGACAGUAUGAUAAACCGUAUUGCAGAGAGCAAAUUGUGUUAACUCCUUGGGGAUGGGAGGGGGUGGGGGCUGCUUUUCCUCACGCCCUCUACUGCCUCUUGGCCGCCAGGACUUGCGGUUAUAAAUUCCUCGGCUUAUCUUCAGAUUAAAAAAAUAAAGGGAAACUCUUGUUACGGAAAAGGUGGAACAAACUUUAGUUGCCAAACGUGUCCUGUUUAUCUAGCCCGCUAAAAUCUCUGAAUACAAUAAGGAAAUAUUCUCAACGAUUAUCAUUGUUUUUUUAUUUGCAGAAACCUAAACGAACCGAAACAUCGGACAGUAUUGACUACAGUACAGUUUGAAUUACAAGACAGAAAAAAAGCAACAAAUUUCAGACGUCCAACAUUCUUCCUGCUCACAUGCUUACAUCUUGUGGCGUCAGAUAAAUAGCCAGUAGCCAAGUAUUGAUGUAGCCGUAGUGGAAUAACUGGGAAACUCUUAAUUUUAUCUUUGAAGAAACUUAAAUGACAGUAUUGACUGGAGUUUGAAUUACUCAAAGGGAAAAAGACAAAACAGUCAAAAAAAAAAAAAAAACAGUCGUCCAUCUUUCAUCCGGCAUAUAUCCAUAGGUGUUGGAUAAAAAGCGAAGUUAUGGAGCCGAAAUGGAGUACUUGGGGAAAUUAUCUUUGAAGGAAAAGUUACCAAGAACCAGGCGCAACAGGAUGUUCAAGGAUACAGAAAAUUACUUACUGUAUUACUACCACCACUUAGAUGAUUGCCGACAUCUGUCAAAAAAUGAAACAUUUCAGGAGCUCUAAAGAAUUGUGAAUUUAACUUUAUCAUAAUGCAUCUGAAUGGACAUAUAUUUGAUAUUUGUUCAGUGGUAUUCAGAUGCAGACGAUGGUGCAGAAUACUGUGAUUGUAAUGCUAAGAACUGCUUCAUGAGUAGUUGAUUCAUGAGAUUAUUCCGAAUACAUUUACAGACAUAUGUCAUUUAGUGCAAACAUUUUGUAGUGAGUUACACAGGAUUAUGUCUUCCAUGAUUUAUUUGCAUUAAUAUGCAGAAGAAAAAAACAGUGAUCAUAAGAUGCAUAGUUUUAUUCAAAAUCAGAGACAUUUUCUUACUGUCACCAAGUUGUUACACUUGAAAUUAUUUUCAUGUUAUUUUUUUUGAAAGCAUCGUUUAUAGACAUAUCUUUGGUACUUUAAAAGACAAUGACUUGAAAUUAAAAAUAUUUUCUUUAUAAUCAUCAUCUGCGUGUGUGGUUACAAUCACAAUAAUUCUAAUUGUAUUUCUUGGCAGAGUUAUGCCCCUUUCAUACUUAAAAUCAAAAUUAAAAAUAAAGAAUGUCAGUACACCUUCU